RNAcentral lists this ribosomal RNA (440 nucleotides) under Theileria sp. SH-2015a. RNAcentral's name for it is "SSU rRNA". It matches the Rfam family "Eukaryotic small subunit ribosomal RNA", at positions 548 to 1018 of the family's 1831-position model. Lineage: Eukaryota; Apicomplexa; Aconoidasida; Piroplasmida; Theileriidae. The record is from RNAcentral.
UUGGAGGGCAAGUCUGGUGCCAGCAGCCGCGGUAAUUCCAGCUCCAAUAGCGUAUAUUAAAAUUGUUGCAGUUAAAAAGCUCGUAGUUGAAUUUCUGCUGCAUUGCAUUUUCUCCUAUACGAGUUUUUGCAUUGUGGCUUAUUUCGGUUAUAAAAUUAAUUUUAUUUCCGGAUGUUUACUUUGAGAAAAUUAGAGUGCUCAAAGCAGGCUUUUGCCUUGAAUAGUUUAGCAUGGAAUAAUAAAGUAGGACUUUGGUUCUAUUUUGUUGGUUUUAGGUACCAAAGUAAUGGUUAAUAGGAACAGUUGGGGGCAUUCGUAUUUAACUGUCAGAGGUGAAAUUCUUAGAUUUGUUAAAGACGAACUACUGCGAAAGCAUUUGCCAAGGAUGUUUUCAUUAAUCAAGAACGAAAGUUAGGGGAUCGAAGACGAUCAGAUACCGU